This 202-nucleotide ribosomal RNA is filed under the name uncultured bacterium. Its description in RNAcentral is "partial 16S ribosomal RNA". It matches the Rfam family "Bacterial small subunit ribosomal RNA", at positions 328 to 544 of the family's 1533-position model. The record is from RNAcentral.
ACGCUCGACACCUACGGGGGGCAGCAGUGGGGAAUAUUGCACAAUGGGGGAAACCCUGAUGCAGCGACGCCGCGUGAGCGAAGAAGUAUUUCGGUAUGUAAAGCUCUAUCAGCAGGGAAGAAACUGACGGUACCUGACUAAGAAGCACCGGCUAAAUACGUGCCAGCAGCCGCGGUAAUCGUGAGGCGGGCGUGGCGAAGGC